GGAAGGGCAGGGUUUUUAUAGAGACGAUUCAUGGAACUGCUUAUGCUGGUGGAGAAUCCAGACUGUUAUGACUCAUUUGUCUCUUUAUUGCUCUGGACCAAGGACUGUUGUUUCCUUUUAAGUCUCUCUGUAGGAGCUGAGCUCCAGCUUAGGGCCAAGACCUCUUUUGCAGGAAGACAGUGACUUUAGUGAGUGGGAACAGGAAUACCCCUUUGUUGGGUUCUGGGUCAAGCCUACUGGAUAAGCAAAAUAAGAAUUUUGUUUUUUACCGGAGGGUAGAGUUUCUUUUGGAAACCAGUAGCAUCCUUAAAGUCUUUAGCUUCAGAUAAGGUUUUCCUUGUGUCUGUCCUACAUUUCAUUCUUUUUUUUUUUUUGGUACCGGGGAUCGAACACGGGUCUUUGUACUUGCGCAGCAGGUGGCGAAAUCACUGAGCUAAAUCCCCGGCCCUGCCAUUUCAUUCUUUAAAAGCCCAAGUAAAGUUGGAUUGAGUGGUACGUGGAGCAGCUUUGGAGAGUAGAAAUGAGUGUGCCUGGGUUACCAUGGAACCAGGGAUGGCAGAAAAAGUCAUUUGGAGUCCAGUUUGCCUGAAGUCCUGCUAUGCUUUCUGGGAAGAACUGUGAAGAGGGCUUUUGGACUGGAGUCAACUGCCAUGUGGUCUGUGUGACAAUGAACCAGUGGUGGCUUCUGGUCAACAUCCAGGAAAGAUCUGUGACCCUCAGCCUAGCAGCCUGUAAGGGCCUGAGUCCUGUUCACAUCGCUGGGUGUCAGUGGACACGUGGAACACUUCUGCCCCUGGCUAUUGAGAAUCAAGCUGCUAGGAAUACCAGAUUCCCCAUCCAACUGGUUGGGAAGCUCUUCAUGUGGCUUUUCAGAGUGGACAGUCCUGCUAGCUGUCCCUUUGCCCUCUGCCAGAUCCCCAGAGUUCUUUUCAUUCAUUGAUGGCUUAGGAAGAGAGAGUGUGUGCAAGACACACGUGUCUUCUACUCACUGGCCAAGAUAAGACAAGACUACAACAUCAUUUCCUGGUCCUGCCUACUUCCUGUGGGCGGCCCCUUCUCCACGAGAGCAGCACCUGACACAGGGGACUCAUUCUCCUUUGAUGCUUUUUAAAGGUGUACUUGUGACUCGAAUGACUGUGAUCCUGGGAAAACUCAACAUUUCAUCUCAUCAAAGUCACCUUUCCAACUUUAGCAGUGAAAACUACAAGAAAGGGGGUCAAAAUUCAGAUUAGGCAUCCUGGAGCAUCCUCUCUGGCUCCACAAGGUGAUCAGAGAGUGUGGACACAUAUCCAUCUAUUGACAAAUAAUUGUGAAAGGCAAAAUGUCUCCCUAAAUUAUAGUAAUGCACAUGUGAUGUGUAUAAUUCAACACCCUUUUGUGUAGGAAGUAGCCAUACUACUAAUACACUGCUGGUGGAAUUCUUAAUUGGUUUAGCCACUUAAAGAGAAAUCAGUAUUAUGUCUUAAAGUUGAAAAUGUAGGCAUCCUAUGGCCCAGCAAUUCCAUCAAUAUGAUCAAUAAAGAUUUAUUUCCCAAUCAGCAACCCAAGAUGACUGAAUAGUGCAAACAACUGCAUAUAUAAAUGACUCCCAGUGGUUUCAUUUUUCAAUGAGAUGAUAUCUGAAGAGCAGGAAAAAAAUGACUGGGUUCAUAUGGAGGAGAAAUCAGUUCCGCUGGAAUGCUGCUGUCAGGACUGAACACAAGGCGGCAAGUUUGUAGAUGGUGGAGACCCUCGUGCUGUUUAUCUCACAGACAUUCUCAUGUAAGCCUGCCUGGGAGAACUGAAACAGGUGGACGUAUCUGUGUAAAGAAGAAGCAGUGUGGUAUCAUCUCAUAUGGUUCUCACACCAUGGGACACAUGAGAAAGAAUCACCAAGUUUAUACCAAUUCUUUUUAUUAACAGAAGUAUUGGUUCAGGAUGAGUGGAAGCAUUGUAGAAUUUAUCUGCUGUCAGACAAGUAGAGAUUUCUAGGUAAUAUUCUGCUUCCCAGACUGGCCACUUGAGUAAUACGAUAAGAACAUAGCCAUCAUGGUAGUGGCAUAAGUACCUACAUUUUCUCUUAAAUAAUCACUUACCUGGGGACCUCACCUCUUGAGAAUAUGUUGAAAAUAGAAAAUGUAUAUAAAGUCAGAUAGGCCUUCGUGAGAACAGUUGGUCUUUCCUGGGGGUAAUUUUGCCUCUCCCUGUAGGGAACAUUUGACGAUGUCUACAGACAUCUCUGAUUGGGCUGACUAACAAGGAAGGAAGAACUGCUAAUGGUGCCUAGAAGGUGGAGGGCAGGGAUCCUGAUCAAUAUUCUAAAAUGCACAGGAUGGCCUGUUAUAAUUUAGAUCUCAAGGGGCCGGGGAUUUAGCUCAGUGGUUCCGCCGCCUGCCUCGCAAGCACAAGAACCCGAGUUCGACCCCCAGUACCAAAAACAAAACAAAACAAAAAUAAUUUAGAUCUCAAAUGUCUCCCCAAAGUCUCCGGUGUGUGGAAGAUCGUUGGGUCAUGGGGCUCGGUACUCAUCAGUGGACUCAUCCUUGAUGAGUUCACAGCUGAAUGUGCUGCUAGGAGGUGGGGCCUGGAAGAAGGUGGG
Molecule: long non-coding RNA, 2578 nt
Filed under: Heterocephalus glaber (naked mole-rat)
Lineage: Eukaryota; Metazoa; Chordata; Mammalia; Rodentia; Bathyergidae
Description: lncRNA (ENSHGLG00000028090.2)
Source: RNAcentral